This 460-nucleotide ribosomal RNA is filed under the name uncultured bacterium. RNAcentral describes it as "partial 16S ribosomal RNA". It matches the Rfam family "Bacterial small subunit ribosomal RNA", at positions 338 to 795 of the family's 1533-position model. The record is from RNAcentral.
CCUACGGGUGGCAGCAGUGAGGAAUAUUGGUCAAUGGACGAGAGUCUGAACCAGCCAAGUAGCGUGAAGGAUGACUGCCCUAUGGGUUGUAAACUUCUUUUAUAUGGGAAUAAAAUGUUCCACGUGUGGGAUUUUGUAUGUACCUUAUGAAUAGGGAUCGGCUAACUCCGUGCCAGCAGCCGCGGUAAUACGGAGGAUCCGAGCGUUACCCGGUUUUAUUGGGUUUAAAGGGAGCGUAGGUGGGUUGUUAAGUCAGUUGUGAAAGUUUGCGGGUCAACCGUAAAAUUGCAGUUGAAACUGGCAGUCUUGAGAGCAGGAGAGGGGGGUGGAAUUCGAGGUGUAGCGGUGAAAUGCUUAGAUAUAACGAAGAACUCCGAUUGCGAAGGCAGCUCACUGGACUGCAACUGACACUGAGGCUCGAAAGUGUGGGUAGCAAACAGGAUUAGAUACCCUAGUAGUC